CGGCCUCUCAGUGUCCCGCGAGGCUGGGGGGGGUAAGUAGUGGGUCAUGUCGCCCACCUCGCUGCAUCCUUCCGUGCUGUCCUGGUAUAUACGUCUCAUCUACAGUGUUUUUUUAAGAACCUGAAACGAGGCAAUGCACGUCACUCCGGCUCGGCAUUACGCUCCCCUGCGCUGGGAGUCUAUUAUUACCAUCGGGGAACUGGAUCCUAGCAGCCCAUAAAGGGAAGAUUUAACUCCUAUGAACGUAAUGGCUGUGCAACGUGAGGGAGGAAGCUCGUCGGUCACUCAUCACUUUCCCUGCCGUGGUUCGAGGUCACCCGCUACCUCACCCACUACGUCACACACUACGCGACCGGAGCGUAGGACUUACAACCGGUGUUUUGAAAUGUCUGGCCUCACAUAAUGCUCCCGUGUGUGACGACACCUUGCAUUUCUUCGGAUCAGUCAGCGCUACCUCCACAAAUAUCUUGAGGGCCUCUCGACUCAGCACGUAUCCACCUCCUGUCGCAGGGAUGCAGUCGAGUCACGCGCCAAGGGGAAAAUAGCACGGAGUCGAUACAUCGGACCUCCGUCAGACCAGCCGGCUUCACUGCGCGCGCACACCACCUGGCCUUCACAUUUACCAGUCCUGUCUUCAGUAUUUCCCUGCACGCCUUUAGUCACUGUGCCCAGUAAUCAGUCAAGGCAGGCGAGAGAGAAGACCACCGGAUGGACGACACAGACAGGCAGACAGGGAAGCAGACGGACGGAGAGACAGACAGACAGACAGACGCACUGAUGUCCCCUUCCCCUUCUCCUUGCGAACCUCUUCUGCUCCUCACAACACCUGACUUCACUUGCAUGUUGAGAUCCACGUUCAUUCAAUGCAAGGAACACAUUCAGCUGUCUUCGAACAUCCACUCAUCAUCUGGCAAGUCUGGCGAGGACGUCGACCGCAAACAUGAACUUCUCUCGUAUCUUGCUGGAGGAUGAGAGGGAGAGGAGAGGAUAACGCGAGGAAAAUGUAGUUUUGGAGGAGCUAUGAGGAGGAGAGAGAAGGGGAUAGAUAUAAGAGGGGAGAGGUCAGAAAGAGUGGGAGACAAUAAUGGGUUUCAGAAAGAGUGGAAAACAAUAAUGGGAAGAGUGACGGGAGGGGUGUGAAGCAAGAGAAUGUAAAAAAAACGUAUCUCAUCUUUUGAAAAAGCUCACAUUUAUUUGUUGUUGUAGAUCGCACUUUUAGUAGUAGUUCGCAAGUCGUUUUUGCUAUAUAUAGUAAAUUAGUU
Molecule: long non-coding RNA, 1262 nt
Organism: Scylla paramamosain (green mud crab)
Lineage: Eukaryota; Metazoa; Arthropoda; Malacostraca; Decapoda; Portunidae
Exons: 6
Source: RefSeq, a predicted model, not a curated record